Gadus morhua (Atlantic cod) is the source of this 386-nucleotide long non-coding RNA. RefSeq lists it as uncharacterized. Lineage: Eukaryota; Metazoa; Chordata; Actinopteri; Gadiformes; Gadidae. The record is from RefSeq and is a predicted model, not a curated record. The transcript has 3 exons.
ACGCUCUCUUUCCUUGUCGCAGAGCACUGACCAAGGCAAACACAAGACCCCUGGUCGCAGAGCCCUGACCAAGGCAAGCACAGACCGGUGCACUGACCUUCUUGACAACAAAGUCUCCAGGGCAACGGCCGGAUUGCAGCAGCCCACCUGAAACAGAGCGAUCUUCUGGAAGGUGGCCAGGUUGAUGUCCACAGCGAUGGCCAUUCUCAUCACCAGGGGCAUCUUAUCCAGCAGCUCGGACUCAUCUGGGGGACGAUAGAGGUGUAAGAGAUUGUAGCAUCCGAACAAACCUGUCCAAUCAGACUGGAGAACACGAAGACGCCCACGAAGAAGUUACACAGCUGGAAGGUGAUCUCGAAGACCGUCUGCGGCACCGGGAGCCCCCC